CACUCCAUACCUCCAUAGGUGUCUUGAAGUCUAUUCCCGUUGAUGGACAUCUAUUGAUCAAAUAAGCAGCCGUUGUCACGGCUUCACCCCAGAAACUCUUAGGUAACCCAGCUCCUAGAAUCAUACACCUCACACGCUCCAAAAGAGUCCUAUUCAUGCGUUCCGCAAGACCAUUUUGUUGCGGUGUUCUUGGUACGGUUCUAUGCCUCUUGAUUCCUUUCAACCUGCAAAACUCAUUAAACUGCUCUGAAACAAACUCCAGGCCAUUGUCAGUUCUUAAACCUUUUAGUUUAGUUC
RNAcentral lists this long non-coding RNA (297 nucleotides) under Medicago truncatula (barrel medic). RNAcentral describes it as "long non-coding RNA (MTRU_LNC001794)". The record is from RNAcentral. Lineage: Eukaryota; Viridiplantae; Streptophyta; Magnoliopsida; Fabales; Fabaceae.